UCCGAGUUGACCCCGGCAGUCUCCUGCGAGUCCCCGCCAUUACGCGCUGGCAACAUAGGACGAGGGUUGCGCUCGUUGCGGGACUUAACCCAACAUCUCACGACACGAGCUGACGACAGCCAUGCACCACCUGUAUACCGGCAAAAGGGGCGCCAUCUCUGACGCUUUCCGGCAUAUGUCAAGCCCAGGUAAGGUUCUUCGCGUUGCAUCGAAUUAAUCCGCAUGCUCCGCCGCUUGUGCGGGUCCCCGUCAAUUCCUUUGAGUUUUAGCCUUGCGGCCGUACUCCCCAGGCGGGGCACUUAAUGCGUUAGCUUUGACACCGAGCCCAUGGAAAAGGCCCAACGUCUAGUGCCCAUCGUUUACAGUGUGGACUAC
RNAcentral lists this unclassified non-coding RNA (375 nucleotides) under uncultured Actinomycetes bacterium. RNAcentral's name for it is "uncultured actinobacterium contains 16S-23S intergenic spacer region". Lineage: Bacteria; Bacillati; Actinomycetota; Actinomycetes. The record is from RNAcentral.